GACGAUUGAUGAUUACGUUGGUA
This 23-nucleotide non-coding RNA is filed under the name Arabidopsis thaliana (thale cress). Lineage: Eukaryota; Viridiplantae; Streptophyta; Magnoliopsida; Brassicales; Brassicaceae. The record is from RNAcentral.